This 1376-nucleotide long non-coding RNA is filed under the name Mytilus galloprovincialis (Mediterranean mussel). The record is from RNAcentral. Lineage: Eukaryota; Metazoa; Mollusca; Bivalvia; Mytilida; Mytilidae.
UCACAAUCGAGGAAAUGAUUAAGAUAUGAAGCACGCAAUUUGAUGCGUUUUAUUUUCCAUUAUGAGAUCAUGUAACUUUUAACAAUACUCUAGUUUAUAUUUUGUUCACUUGUUUGAAAUGUAUAAAGCAAGUAUAUUUAUUAUGUAUCAUCUUAUUUAUAAUGCUUCUUUUGACUAAUACUGCAGAAAUCAUUUAAAACUAAUUAUAGAAACAUUAUCAUCCAGGUGUCUUUCCGUAACCAACAGAUGAGUGUUAUCCUGUGUGAUUCAAUUUAUGCAUAAUACAAUUUUGAAUAAUUUUUAAAGCCACUGUUAUCUCAUUUAUUUUGAUUUGUUGAUGUUUUUAUGGUUUGAUGUGUAAUCAAAUUGGUAUGUAUUUCGAAGUCGAUUAUCUUCACACGGACACUGUUGUUUAGAUAUGUUGUAGAAUGUGCAAUAAAGAACGAUUGAUACAUUAUUGUUUCUUAAGCUGUUGGUUUAAAAAAAAUCAAACAUUAAGUUUGUCAUUCUGUGUAGCAAAAUGUCAUUAUAUCAAGUGAAACAAGGCUAAUUUUACGUCUUUACAACCAUUGGAAUAUUAUGUAUUAAUAUGCUCUCCUGAUAAGCUACUGAUACAAUAGUCCUUAGCUCGGUGCAUAUAUGAAUUAAAGCUACAUGUCUUCUAAAUUCAUUCAGGCUUUGAAUAUCAUCAAUUCUUCAAAUUUUUAACUCCUCGAUUUUUUUCUGUUUUUUAGUGACAAAUAUUGAACUUGCUAAAUUAGCUAAUAUCUUGUAAUUUUCAGAUAUGUUGACCACCCUUUAAAAGAUAAAUUUUGUCAUCAAGAUUAUGUCUAAAGUCGGUACAGCCUUCUUUUAGUAAAUUAAAGGCUUUGCAUAGUGGAUGGUGGGUGAAUACCAUGUCGACUCAUCUUGACUCACUUUCUUGAAAAAAUAAGAUAUAUUAUAACCUCAGUUUUUGAACCUUGUUUCGUAUCUUCUAGUAGAUUAAUGCAAUUUGAACACCGAUACAUAACUGUUAUUUUGCUUUUUGGACGACAGUUAACACCACAAUUUGUGCUAUGUGGUUCGAUAAUUUUAUCCGUUUUUUUCAUGAAGAAUGAAAUAAAAUGACUGGAACUUUUUCCUAUUAUGUAAUUCUCUAUUAUUAACAUGAAGUCCAUCUGCCGUUUUACGAAUUACCACUUCGCUGAUUAAUGGCAAUACAUUUAAACAUUCUGACAUCAGAAUCAAUAAUUACAAAUGCAUUUAAUAACACUAUGAUGAAUUUAUCGUGCGAUGUUAAUAACUGUGGAUGAUUUGAAUAAUUAUUUACGCAGUCGCUAUGCAUUUUAGGAUUUUUGCAUAUUUACUUAAUAUGUGUUAGAUGAUUGGAACUA